ACUUGGAUAUGGAUUCUUCACGGUAACGUAACUGAAUGUGGAGACGUCGGCGCGAGCCCUGGGAGGAGUUAUCUUUUCUUCUUAACAGCUUAUCACCCCGGAAUUGGUUUAUCCGGAGAUGGGGUCUUAUGGCUGGAAGAGGCCAGCNCCUUUGCUGGCUCCGGUGCGCUUGNGAUCGGCCCUUGAAAAUCCACAGGAAGGAAUAGUUUUCAUGCUAGGUCGUACU
Molecule: ribosomal RNA, 226 nt
Filed under: Kluyveromyces marxianus
Lineage: Eukaryota; Fungi; Ascomycota; Saccharomycetes; Saccharomycetales; Saccharomycetaceae
Description: partial 26S ribosomal RNA
Rfam family: Eukaryotic large subunit ribosomal RNA
Source: RNAcentral